AGAGUUUGAUCAUGGCUCAGAACGAACGCUGGCGGCGUGGAUAAGACAUGCAAGUCGAACGGGUCUAAUCUGGUAGCAAUGCUAGGUUGGGCCAGUGGCGAACGGGUGCGUAACACGUGAGUCAUCUGCCUGGAAGUGGGGGAUAGCUCGCCGAAAGGCGAAUUAAUACCGCAUGUGAUUGCAAAAUUAAAGCCGGGGCAGCCUGGCGCUUUCCGAGGAGCUCGCGGCCUAUCAGCUUGUUGGUAAGGUAACGGCUUACCAAGGCUUCGACGGGUAGCUGGUCUGAGAGGACGACCAGCCACACUGGAACUGAGACACGGUCCAGACACCUACGGGUGGCAGCAGUCGAGAAUUUUUCUCAAUGGGGGAAACCCUGAAGGAGCGACGCCGCGUGGAGGAUGAAGGCUUUCGGGUUGUAAACUCCUGUCAUUUGGGAACAAAGCCUUACGUUAAUUGCGUGGAGGUUUGAUAGUACCAGAAGAGGAAGAGACGGCUAACUCUGUGCCAGCAGCCGCGGUAAUACAGAGGUCUCGAGCGUUGUUCGGAUUCAUUGGGCGUAAAGGGCGCGUAGGCUGCGGGGCAAGUCGGGUGUGAAAUCUCAGAGCUCAACUCUGAAACUGCACUCGAUACUGCUUUGCUUGAGGACUGGAGAGGAGAUUGGAAUUCACGGUGUAGCAGUGAAAUGCGUAGAUAUCGUGAGGAAGACCAGUGGCGAAGGCGGAUCUCUGGACAGUUCCUGACGCUGAGGCGCGAGGGCCAGGGGAGCAAACGGGAUUAGAUACCCCGGUAGUCCUGGCAGUAAACGGUGCACGUUUGGUGUGCGCGGAUUCGACCCCGUGCGUGCCGGAGCUAACGCGUUAAACGUGCCGCCUGAGGAGUACGGUCGCAAGAUUAAAACUCAAAGAAAUUGACGGGGCCCGCACAAGCGGUGGAGUAUGUGGC
RNAcentral lists this ribosomal RNA (942 nucleotides) under uncultured bacterium. RNAcentral describes it as "bacterial SSU rRNA". It matches the Rfam family "Bacterial small subunit ribosomal RNA", at positions 8 to 945 of the family's 1533-position model. The record is from RNAcentral.